GAUGAAGAACGAAGCGAAAUGCGAUAAGUAAUGUGAAUUGCAGAAUUCAGUGAAUCAUCGAAUCUUUGAACGCACAUUGCGCCCCUUGGUAUUCCGAGGGGCAUGCCUGUUCGAGCGUCAUUAUCACCCCUCAAGCUUUGCUUGGUGUUGGGGCCUGCUGUAAUAGGCAGCCCUUAAAAUCAGUGGCGGUGCUUCAAGGCUCUAAGCGUAGUAAUUCUCCUCGCUAUAGUGUCUAGUGGUUGCCAGCCAGAACCCCCCAAUUUUCAUGAUUGACCUCGGAUCAGGUAGGGAUACCCGCUGAACUUAAGCAUAUCAAUAAGCGGAGGA
This 327-nucleotide unclassified non-coding RNA is filed under the name soil metagenome. RNAcentral describes it as "partial contains 5.8S ribosomal RNA, internal transcribed spacer 2, and large subunit ribosomal RNA". The stretch from base 1 to 120 matches the Rfam family "5.8S ribosomal RNA", at positions 35 to 154 of the family's 154-position model. The record is from RNAcentral.